GGUYGAMGGGAGWRAUUYAUUCKCGUUUCGACGUCGGYGYCAGSCGAUCGAGUGACRCKGGAUUCCGACGACGACGUUAGCUUCUCKCSCGCCCUUCGCUCGUCKAACCGACGACGAACGCGUGCACUUUUCUCCUGGUAGGACGUCGCGAUCCGUUGGGCGUCAGUCUACGGCGCGCGGUGGAGCCCGCUCGUCGCUUCGCGCGACGGACGGACCCGCGCGUUCCGGCUGACUCGCUCGACGGUAGACGAAAGGUUAGGGGCCGCUCUCUCUCGGAGCGUUCGACUCCCGGCAAGCGCGCCAGAUGCGUCGACGAUCGGACCCGGUGCCGAUCCCGGCCUCUGGUGACUGUUGGCCGCGGAAGUUCUCGGACAGACCCCACGACCGAUCUGCGACGCUAUAGCUUUGGGUACUUUCAGGACCCGUCUUGAAACACGGACCAAGGAGUCUAGCAUGUGCGCGAGUCAUUGGGAAUCGCUAAACCUAAAGGCGCAAUGAAAGUGAAGGUCCUCCUAGCGAGGACCGAGGAAGACGGGCGGUUCGCCGUUAAAAGCGGCCGCUCCGCACUCCCGGGGCGUCUCGUUCUCAUCGCGAGAAGAGGCGCACCAAGAGCGUACACGCUGGGACCCGAAAGAUGGUGAWCURUGCCUGGUCAGGWCWAASUCAGSGKAAACCCUKAUGGAGSUCCGUARCGAUUMUCRCGUGCGMMUCGMUCGUCGGAMCUGRKYAUAGGGACGCAAGWSA
RNAcentral lists this ribosomal RNA (744 nucleotides) under Pityokteines elegans. RNAcentral describes it as "partial large subunit ribosomal RNA". It matches the Rfam family "Eukaryotic large subunit ribosomal RNA", at positions 584 to 931 of the family's 3401-position model. The record is from RNAcentral. Lineage: Eukaryota; Metazoa; Arthropoda; Insecta; Coleoptera; Curculionidae.